GACAACGGGCUUGUUUUUCUGUUGUGUGCUUGGGCUGAUGCGUCUAUACACACAGACCCAGUAGACCCGUGCGGUCAGGGUAGCAUAAGCGCGGAGAUAUCAUUAUGAAAACACUGACUGUCGUCGGUGUUUCUUGGCUUGAUGAGGUGUCUGGACACAGAAGGUGAGGAACAGACGCCUUAACUCUGGGACUGGAACGGGCGCCCAUACCCUCCCCAGCUCUGGUCUUUGAUAUCUUGGUUUGAGUCUUACGUCAAUGUCGGGGAACAGAUUUUCACCCUCGUAGCUCUCCAAUGACCAUAAGAAACAGAACUACCAAUGAAACAGGCCAAGAUGACAGAAGCAACCAUAAUAAUCUUCAGACUGAACAAGGAAUACCAUAGCUCCAGACCUGCCUUACUUGUACUGAGAAUUAGAAAUGAGUUAUUUUCAUUUUUCUCUUGAACACGGUUGCUCUUAUUAAAGAAGCAGGGACGUGCCCUCACUCAUGAAGACAUGACCUCUGGGCCCUCGGUGGGCAAUGUCUGCUCUUGUGCUGCCUGGGCUCAGCAAGUUACUGGACCACUGUCCCUUGAGACCUGCAUCUGUGUGAUUUACCCACCUGAGAGCAUCUCUGAGGAUUAACUGAGCUAAGACGGGGGUCCUGCCAUGAACAGUCCAUCCUGACACUCCAUAAACGUUAGCUGCUGUUAGGAGGAUUAGGAGAGCAUGGCAAAUGUACACUUCCCUGAGCUUUUGUCUUGGGAAGGGAAUGGUUCAAGAGUGUGCCAAAGUCAAACUGAUUUAGUUUUAGAGAAAGACAUUGCUAUCUGCUGAGAUCUUACUCACCAAGCACCAGCUCACGGUGUGUGCUUACGGCUGAUGCAACUGUUAGAAAUAAGAGGCUCUGGAACAGCGGAUGCCUCCACAGUGGAGUCAUGGGAUGUGCUUUAUUUGUAGGGGGCUGGAUAAAUUCCGACCCGAGUUAUCUUGGGACGGCCCUUAAGUGGCCUGUGUGAGCCGCAUUUCGGGCUCAAGCCCAGUUCCUAGAGGACAGGUGUGAUAUGAGAAUGUUGGCGGUGGUCUCGGAAACUUUUGUGGGAGAUCAGUCCUCAGAUGGAUCCGAGGGUCCAAAAGAUGUCCCAACCCAGACAAGGGCCACCGGGUAGUGGUCUCAGACAUAAAAGCGAGGAAGCCAGCUGCCAAUGGUUGGGUGGAAAAAAACAGACACUGAUGAUUUUGGAAGCUUGCCGAUAUCUGACAUUUCAUAAACAUUAAAUGCAUUGACGAGAGAAUCGAUGCUUCCAAUAGAAA
Bubalus bubalis (water buffalo) is the source of this 1293-nucleotide long non-coding RNA. RefSeq lists it as uncharacterized. The transcript has 2 exons. The record is from RefSeq and is a predicted model, not a curated record. NCBI's taxonomy places the organism in Eukaryota, Metazoa, Chordata, Mammalia, Artiodactyla, Bovidae.